GACGAACGCUGGCGGCGUGCUUAACACAUGCAAGUCGAACGGAAAGGCCCUGCUCUUGUGGGGUGCUCGAGUGGCGCGCGGGUGAGUAACACGCGAGUAACCUGCCCUUGACUUUGGGAUAACUUCAGGAAACUGGGGCUAAUACCGGAUAUGAGCUCCUGCUGCAUGUUGGGGGUUGGAAAGUUUCGGCGGUUGGGGAUGGACUCGCGGCUUAUCAGCUUGUUGGUGGGGUAGUGGCUUACCAAGGCUUUGACGGGUAGCCGGCCUGAGAGGGUGACCGGCCACAUUGGGACUGAGAUACGGACCAGACUCCUACGGGAGGCAGCAGUGGGGAAUAUUGCACAAUGGGCGGAAGCCUGAUGCAGCAACGCCGCGUGCGGGAUGACGGCCUUCGGGUUGUAAACCGCUUUCGACUGUGACGAAGCGUGAGUGACGGUAAUGGGUAAAGAAGCACCGGCUAACUACGUG
RNAcentral lists this ribosomal RNA (468 nucleotides) under uncultured bacterium. RNAcentral describes it as "partial 16S ribosomal RNA". It matches the Rfam family "Bacterial small subunit ribosomal RNA", at positions 28 to 507 of the family's 1533-position model. The record is from RNAcentral.